This is a small nucleolar RNA of Tachysurus fulvidraco (yellow catfish), 131 nucleotides long. RefSeq annotates it as small nucleolar RNA SNORA44. The record is from RefSeq and is a predicted model, not a curated record. NCBI's taxonomy places the organism in Eukaryota, Metazoa, Chordata, Actinopteri, Siluriformes, Bagridae. The transcript has a single exon.
AUGCACGGUUUCUGAGGAUCUUUGCUCUUGGCGGUGAGACAGAUUCUCCAACUACGUGCUACAGUAAGGGGGUGAAUUAGGCUGCUCGGGUUGUCUGGUGCCUGCUGCAGCUACGCUACAUCCCCACAUCU